AUUGAACGCUGGCGGCAUGCUUUACACAUGCAAGUCGAACGGCAGCGCGGGCUUCGGCCUGGCGGCGAGUGGCGAACGGGUGAGUAAUAUAUCGGAACGUACCAAGAGUGGGGAGUAACGUAGCGAAGUUACGCUAAUACCGCAUACGAUCUAAGGAUGAAAGCAGGGGAUCGCAAGACCUUGUGCUCCUGGAGCGGCCGAUAUCUGAUUAGCUAGUUGGUGAGGUAAAGGACUCACCAAGGCAACGAUCAGUAGCUGGUCUGAGAGGACGACCAGCCACACUGGAACUGAGACACGGUCCAGACUCCUACGGGAGGCGAGCAGUGGGGAAGUUUUGG
This 338-nucleotide ribosomal RNA is filed under the name uncultured bacterium. Its description in RNAcentral is "bacterial SSU rRNA". It matches the Rfam family "Bacterial small subunit ribosomal RNA", at positions 30 to 368 of the family's 1533-position model. The record is from RNAcentral.